CCAGACCUACGGGAGGCAGCAGGGAAUAUUGCACAAUGGGGGAAACCCUGAUGCAGCAACGCCGCGUGAGUGAAGAAGGUUUUCGGAUUGUAAAGCUCUGUUAGCAGGGAAGAGGAAGGACGGUACCUGCAGAGGAAGCCACGGCUAACUACGUGCCAGCAGCCGCGGUAAUACGUAGGUGGCAAGCGUUGUUCGGAAUAACUGGGCGUAAAGGAUGCGUAGGCGGUUAAACAAGUUAUAUGUUAAAUAUAUAGGCUUAACUUGUAGAAAGCAUAUAAAACUGUUUAACUAGAGUGCAGGGGAGG
RNAcentral lists this ribosomal RNA (305 nucleotides) under uncultured bacterium. RNAcentral describes it as "bacterial SSU rRNA". It matches the Rfam family "Bacterial small subunit ribosomal RNA", at positions 331 to 657 of the family's 1533-position model. The record is from RNAcentral.